RNAcentral lists this long non-coding RNA (643 nucleotides) under Sus scrofa (pig). RNAcentral's name for it is "lncRNA (ENSSSCG00070004695.1)". The record is from RNAcentral. Lineage: Eukaryota; Metazoa; Chordata; Mammalia; Artiodactyla; Suidae.
UUUUGCUAAGGAUGUAUUUUAGGUUUGACUCUGCCGCUAUUGAAUGGGAUGCCUAAAACCAGCUUUUUUGCCUCUUUGGAUUUCAGGAUGCUCCUGUUGUAUGAUUUGAUGAAUCUUGGAAUUCAAGUAUUUGUGUAGCACUGGGUCUAGAGAGAGGCUGACAUUCAGUGAAGUACCAGGUUCAAAUAAUUAGAAGAUUUUAAUUCAGAACAGUGAUUCCACCUCUCUUGGAACAGUCAUAUCUGCUGAGAAGUUUAAGGAAGGAACCUUGAGAAAGCAUCAGAGGUGGCUUUGGAGGUGGAAUCUGAAGAAACUAGAGGAGAGAAGAAAGGAAGAAUGGAUUACAAAAGAUGAGCAAGAUGCCUGGAAUUUCACACGUACAUCAUCUCUUUGGGUCACAGAGAAAGCCAUGCUUGAUUAACACUGAGGAUUGCGUACGACCUAUGGCUGGUGUCCAAUGACUUCUCCCAUUUUCAGAACACUUCUGUAAUGUUGCCGUCAGUGGUGAAUAUAUGACAUCCAAGGAAAGGUGAGGCCCUGACACUAAGAGGAAUACAAUGACCAGUCCAAGAGGACAACCCAGAACUGGACUUCUGGGGCCUGACUGAACUGGAUUGAGGUAUCGGACACACUUUUACAGAGG